ACGCAUCCAUUGAUAGACCAUAAGCCAUUUUAGUUGCUUUUUUGGUUUGCACAGAGAUGCAAGAGAGAAAUUCCUCGCGCUUUCUGUCUGCCUUAAUACAUGGCUUUUCAGAUUGAAUAGAGGAAUACAAAU
Xenopus laevis (African clawed frog) is the source of this 132-nucleotide non-coding RNA. Lineage: Eukaryota; Metazoa; Chordata; Amphibia; Anura; Pipidae. The record is from Rfam.